Molecule: ribosomal RNA, 440 nt
Filed under: uncultured bacterium
Lineage: Bacteria
Description: partial 16S ribosomal RNA
Rfam family: Bacterial small subunit ribosomal RNA
Source: RNAcentral
CCUACGGGUGGCAGCAGUGAGGAAUAUUGGUCAAUGGGCGCAACCCUGACCCAGCCAUGCCGCGUGAAUGAUGAAUGUCCUCGGAUUGGUAAGCUUCUUUUGUCGUGACGUUGAUGCCGGUACCGUCUCCUGUAGCACUGUCCAACAUCAUGCCAGCUGCCCUGGUAACACGCAGGCUGCGAGGGUUGUACGGAAUUACUGGGCGUAAUGGGAGUUUAUGUGGUUAUGUAAGAUAGCGGUGAAAUUCCGGGGCUCAACCCCGGAACUGCCAUUAUCACUGUGUAUCUAGAGUAAUGGAGAGGUAAGCGGAAUACGCGGUGUAGAGGUGAAAUUCGUAGAUAUUGGGUAGAACACCGAUGGCGAAGGCGGCUAUCUGGCCAUUUACUGACGCUGAGGCUCGAAAGCAUGGGGAUCAAACAGGAUUAGAUACCCCAGUAGUC